Molecule: transfer RNA, 85 nt
Filed under: Planctomycetota bacterium
Lineage: Bacteria; Pseudomonadati; Planctomycetota
Description: tRNA-Leu
Rfam family: tRNA
About the family: Transfer RNA (tRNA) molecules are approximately 80 nucleotides in length. Their secondary structure includes four short double-helical elements and three loops (D, anti-codon, and T loops).
Source: RNAcentral
GCCGGAGUGGCGGAAUUGGCAGACGCGACGGAUUCAAAAUCCGUUUCCUGUAAUGGGAGUGAGGGUUCGAGUCCCUCCUCCGGCA